Molecule: ribosomal RNA, 510 nt
Filed under: uncultured bacterium
Lineage: Bacteria
Description: bacterial SSU rRNA
Rfam family: Bacterial small subunit ribosomal RNA
Source: RNAcentral
CUGGCGGCGUGCCUAAUACAUGCAAGUCGAACGGUCUUUCUAUGGAAGCUUGCUUCCACUGAGAAGAUAGUGGCGAACGGGUGAGUAACACGUGGGUAACCUGCCCAUAAGAGGGGGGAUAACAUCCGGAAACGGGUGCUAAUACCGCAUAGUUUUCUUGAUCGCAUGAUUGAGAAAGGAAAGACGGCCUUUGUGCUGUCGCUUAUGGAUGGACCCGCGGCGUAUUAGUUAGUUGGUGAGGUAAUGGCUCACCAAGACGAUGAUACGUAGCCGACCUGAGAGGGUGAUCGGCCACAUUGGGACUGAGACACGGCCCAAACUCCUACGGGAGGCAGCAGUAGGGAAUCUUCCGCAAUGGACGAAAGUCUGACGGAGCAACGCCGCGUGAGUGAAGAAAGGUUUUCGGAUCGUAAAACUCUGUUGUCAGAGAAGAACAAGUUGGAGAGUAACUGCUCCAGCCUUGACGGUAUCUGACCAGAAAGCCACGGCUAACUACGUGCCAGCCGCCGC